UGGGGAAUAUUGCACAAUGGGGGAAACCCUGAUGCAGCGACGCCGCGUGAGCGAAGAAGGCUUUCGAGUCGUAAAGCUCUGUCCUAUGAGAAGAUAAUGACGGUAUCAUAGGAGGAAGCCCUGGCUAAAUACGUGCCAGCAGCCGCGGUAAUACGUAUGGGGCGAGCGUUGUCCGGAAUUAUUGGGCGUAAAGGGUACGUAGGUGGUUUUUUAAGUCAGGUGUCAAAGCGUGGAGCUUAACUCCAUUAAGCACUUGAAACUGAAAGACUUGAGUGAAGGAGAGGAAAGUGGAAUUCCUAGUGUAGCGGUGAAAUGCGUAGAUAUUAGGAGGAAUACCGGUGGCGAAGGUGACUUUCUGGACUUUUACUGACGCUCAGGUACGAAAGCGUGGGGAGCAAACAGG
RNAcentral lists this ribosomal RNA (403 nucleotides) under Verrucomicrobiota bacterium. RNAcentral describes it as "Verrucomicrobia bacterium partial 16S ribosomal RNA". It matches the Rfam family "Bacterial small subunit ribosomal RNA", at positions 355 to 776 of the family's 1533-position model. Lineage: Bacteria; Pseudomonadati; Verrucomicrobiota. The record is from RNAcentral.